UCAACGAAAGUCCAAGAGCAAUAAAGUCGGCUUUUAGAGGUUGGUUCAUUGGUUGAACAGUUGAGCUUACUUUUGGACGCCAAAGCACCCAAAGCAAAAUUUCAUUAAGGGCUAAUUUCAGGAAGCCCAGAAAUUUGACUUUGUACUUUUGGAGUUGCUUUCUCCCACAUUUACUUCCCCAUUCACUCGAACGAAUCCAUCCAGCCACUCAUGGUGAAUUCCCUACCAUCUCUUUUCUUCAUUGCCAUUCUCCUCUUCUUUGUCCUUCUUCACAUGGCUGAAUUCUCUUACGGCAGGUUCAAUCGGUCUUCACAAGUUUUCAGGAAGGAGGCCAGUGAUACGAGGGCAUGUAUACCAGGGGAGUUCAAAACAUUUUUGAAAACUAGCGAGUUUGGUGAAGUUUUCUGAAAACGUGAGGAGAUUAAUGAAAUUGCCCUUUAUCAAAUUGAUAAAGGUCCGCUGGUGGUUUUUAGGUGAUUUAUUGUUCCAAGGUAAUUGUAGUUCUAUGCAGAAGAUUUUGAUUAGAGUGAAGUGGUAAAAUAAUUUCAUAAUCAAUUGAGGAUUUUGAUUAGUUCUGUGC
Molecule: long non-coding RNA, 580 nt
Organism: Nelumbo nucifera (sacred lotus)
Lineage: Eukaryota; Viridiplantae; Streptophyta; Magnoliopsida; Proteales; Nelumbonaceae
Source: RefSeq, a predicted model, not a curated record